Molecule: transfer RNA, 69 nt
Filed under: Stegodyphus mimosarum
Lineage: Eukaryota; Metazoa; Arthropoda; Arachnida; Araneae; Eresidae
Rfam family: tRNA
About the family: Transfer RNA (tRNA) molecules are approximately 80 nucleotides in length. Their secondary structure includes four short double-helical elements and three loops (D, anti-codon, and T loops). Further hydrogen bonds mediate the characteristic L-shaped molecular structure. tRNAs have two regions of fundamental functional importance: the anti-codon, which is responsible for specific mRNA codon recognition, and the 3' end, to which the tRNAs corresponding amino acid is attached (by aminoacyl-tRNA synthetases). tRNAs cope with the degeneracy of the genetic code in two manners: having more than one tRNA (with a specific anti-codon) for a particular amino acid; and 'wobble' base-pairing, i.e. permitting non-standard base-pairing at the 3rd anti-codon position.
Source: Rfam by way of RNAcentral
GCCUUCGUGGUGUAGUGGCACGCUCGACAGGUAACCGAGAGGUCCGUGGUUCGAUUCCCGGCGAACGCG